UACGUAGGUGGCAAGCGUUAUCCGGAUUUAUUGGGCGUAAAGGGAACGCAGGCGGUCUUUUAAGUCUGAUGUGAAAGCCUUCGGCUUAACCGGAGUAGUGCAUUGGAAACUGGGAGACUUGAGUGCAGAAGAGGAGAGUGGAACUCCAUGUGUAGCGGUGAAAUGCGUAGAUAUAUGGGAGGACACCAGUGGCGAAAGCGGCUCUCUGGUCUGUAACUGACGCUGAGGUUCGAAAGCGUGGGUAGCAAACAGG
This 253-nucleotide ribosomal RNA is filed under the name uncultured bacterium. Its description in RNAcentral is "partial 16S ribosomal RNA". It matches the Rfam family "Bacterial small subunit ribosomal RNA", at positions 524 to 776 of the family's 1533-position model. The record is from RNAcentral.